UUACUCUUGAGGGGGCCGUGAUUGGAGGGU
This 30-nucleotide non-coding RNA is filed under the name Rattus norvegicus (Norway rat). Lineage: Eukaryota; Metazoa; Chordata; Mammalia; Rodentia; Muridae. The record is from RNAcentral.